This 1570-nucleotide long non-coding RNA is filed under the name Macaca mulatta (Rhesus monkey). RNAcentral's name for it is "lncRNA (ENSMMUG00000050296.1)". Lineage: Eukaryota; Metazoa; Chordata; Mammalia; Primates; Cercopithecidae. The record is from RNAcentral.
GGGACAACAGGUGUGUACCACCACACCUAACUAAUUUUUUAUUUUUUGUAAAGACAGAGUCUCACCAUGUUGCCCGGGCUUGUCUCAAACUGCUGAACUCAAGUGAAGCUCCUGCUUCAGCCCCACAAAGUGCUGGGGUUACAGGCGUGAGCCACUGGCCCCCUUCAGCACUUCAGAUGUGCUGAAGGGAAAGCAGACACAUCUUACUGUGGCAAAGCAGGAGAAAGAGAGAGCUCAGGGGAAAAUGCCACUUUUUUUUUUUCUUUGAGACAGAGUUUCGUUCUUGUUGCCCAGGCUGGAGUGCAGCAGCACGAUCUUGGCUCACCGUAACCUCCGCCUCCGGGGUUCAAGAGAUUCUCCUGCCUCAGCCUCCCCAGCAGCUGGGAUGACAGGCAUGCACCACCACGCCCGGCUAAUUGGGAAACUACCACUUUUAAAACCAUCAGAUCUCAUGAGAAGUCCCUCACUAUCACGAGAACAGCAAGGAGGAAACCGCCCCCAUGAUCCAAUCACCUCCCACCAGGUUCCUCCCUUGACAUGUGAGAAUUACAGUUCGAGAUGAGAUUUGGGUGGGGACACAGAGCCAAACCAUGUCAGUUUAUAAUUAGCACUGUGAAAGAAAUAACCAGUGAUGAAAUAGAGAGUAACAAGGGGAAUAAGGGGAAUCCACUUUCCAUAGGAGAUGAGGAAGGUGACCGCUGAGCAGUGACUUGAUAGAUGAGAACAGCCCAGCUCUGGGAAAGGAAAGCAGAAAGAACAAGGGCAAAGGCUUUGGGGUGGGAAAGAGCUUUGUAUAUUUGAUGAACUGGAAAAAAAAAAAAAACCCGGGAGGCUAAAUCAGAGCGGAGAGAAGGAGAAGAAACUAAGGCAAUAGGCCAUAUCCUGCAGGGUUGUAUAGACCACAGCAAGGAGUUUGGAUUUCAUUCUGAAUGCUAUGGGAGGCCACAGAAGACAUUAAGAACACAGUGGCAUAGCCUGAUUCCUAUCUUUUCAAAAGGAUCACUUGACUGCUGUGUGGAGAAUGCAUUGAAAGGAGGGAGGCCAAUGGAGAAGACUGCAGUUUCCCUUGCAAAAGAUGAUGCUGGUGGAGGCAGAGGCUGCAGCAACAGAUUUACAGCUGUUAUCAGUCACCUCCGGCAGGCCAGAGCCUUCGAAAGAGAUUAAGGCACAAACCUACACAGCGGGGAGAACACGUGAAGACACAGGGAGAAGAUGGCCACCUGCAAGCCAAGGAGAGAGAUUCAGAAGAAACCAACCCUGCUGACACCCUGACCUGAGACUUCUAGACUCCCGAGUGGUAGGAAAAUUAAUUUCUGUUGUUCAAGCCACCUAGUCUGUGGUGCUUUGUUAGUUCAGUGCUGGCAAAUGGAUACCCUGAUAUCUAAGGAUGCAUGUCUUUUACAUUCUGUAAUGUAAGGAUGCAUCUAAGGAUGCGUGUCUUUUACAUUCUGGAAAAUUCUCAGCUGUUUCUCUUUGGCUAUAUUUCCUCUUCAGCUGUUUGGCUCUUGUUCUUUUUCUCUGCCCUCUCCUAGCCUGCAAUCUAAUGAAUAUUAAACUUAUUCUAUCCUCC